This is a non-coding RNA of Caenorhabditis elegans, 21 nucleotides long. The record is from Ensembl. Lineage: Eukaryota; Metazoa; Nematoda; Chromadorea; Rhabditida; Rhabditidae.
ACGAGUCACAAAUAUGAAAAG